This 72-nucleotide transfer RNA is filed under the name Lophonectes gallus (crested flounder). Its description in RNAcentral is "tRNA-Ile". It matches the Rfam family "tRNA". Rfam says of the family: Transfer RNA (tRNA) molecules are approximately 80 nucleotides in length. Their secondary structure includes four short double-helical elements and three loops (D, anti-codon, and T loops). The record is from RNAcentral. Lineage: Eukaryota; Metazoa; Chordata; Actinopteri; Pleuronectiformes; Bothidae.
GAAGCUGUGCCUGAAUUUUAAAGGACCACUUUGAUAGAGUGUCUUAUGGGGGUUAAAGUCCCCCCGGCUUCU